Long non-coding RNA from Anolis carolinensis (green anole), 2147 nucleotides. RefSeq lists it as uncharacterized. Lineage: Eukaryota; Metazoa; Chordata; Lepidosauria; Squamata; Anolidae. The record is from RefSeq and is a predicted model, not a curated record. The transcript has 4 exons.
GGAACCCAUAUUUCCAGUGGUUUGAGCAUUGGACAACAACUCUGGAGACCAGGGUUCACAUCCCUUAUUGGCCAUGAAACCUGCUGACAAGUCUCGCUAAGUCUCAGAAGACAUUUGAAAACAUCUUCUGAACAAAUCUUGCCAGGAAAACUUUGGGAUACGUUUGCCUUAGGCAAACCUGCUGCCUAAGCUCAGUGACACAUCCAUGAAGCACCAAAGAAGGAAAGAGUUCUGUGAGAAGCUUGGAAUGUAACAUUUUUACCUUUUUCUCCAAAGACUUGCAUGGUUGCUUUGCUGAGAAAAAUUUAGAAUUCAGAUUAUGCUAUUAUCUAUUGUGUUGGAAUCUAUCUCCAGUCUUGGGGAGAGGAAGCACUACUACUACUACACCAAUUCCUGUCUCCCCAAAUUGGAUUUUAAAUUGCAUUUAUAGAGAAGUCUACAAGAACUGAGAACCAUCCAAUUCAACCUGAAACAUCCCAAGGGAAAGAAAGCAACAAUGUCUGAUUGCCCAAAUGAGAAUGAGCAAUCAACAGUUAAGCAGUCAAAAGAGACUAAAAGGCCCAAGUAGAAAAUAUGCAUGCCAGAAACAUCUAUAUAUAUAAUAAAAGUGAAAUCGGAGUAUGUAUCAGCGUUUUGAUUGGCCUGGCGGAAUAUGUGCUCGCGUUUUGAUUGGCCGCCACUAUCCCAGGCCACUGAGACCAACAGGAAUGACGAAUCUGCACCAAACUUGGCACACUUCAUCCCCACGAUGCACUUUAUGGCCUGCUGCCAUUGGGGGGAGGAUGGACCACAGAUGAUGGGAUUUGCAGUACUUUCAAACACUUUAACUCCCACAGACUACUGCAAUGCCCACCAAUGAUAGAAAUGGACCAAACUUGGCACACAGAACUCCUGUCGACCCCUUUACAUCCUGAUGUAUAUUGGGGCAGGAUGGACCAAGGAUGAUGGAAUUUGCAGUACCUUCCCUCACUUCUUGAGACCACAGCAACUGCCACAAAUCACACAACUGAACCAAACCAGGCACACAUAUCCCAAAUGACACACUUCACAUGCUGCAGCAGUUUGACGGAAGGUGGACCAAGGAUUAUGGGAUUUGCAGUACAUUCAUCCAAUUCACCUCCCACAAACCACUGUGAUGCCCAUGAAUGACAAAACUGUAUCAAACUUGACACGCAGGUGCAGGGUAGCCCACUUUACAUCCUGGUGCAGUUUGGGGGAAGAGGGACCAUGGAUGAGGGGACUUACAAUAUCUUCAGUCACUUCCUGGGACUACUGUGACCCCCACCAAUGACUGAUCAAGACCAAACUUAGCACAUAGAGCCACCAUGGCCCACUCUACAUCUUGGUGAGAUUUGAAAGAGCUUGGACCUUGGAUGAUGGGACUUGCAGUAUAUUCAUUCACUUCCUGAGACCACUGUCACCCCCAUCAAUGUCUCAUCAAGACCAAACUUCAAACAGAGAACACCCAUGACUCACUCUACACCCAGGUGCAGUUUGGAGGAUGAUGGACCAUGGACGAUGGGACUUCCAAUACCUUCACUCACUUCCUGAGAGCACCGCGACCCACACAAAUGACUGAUCAAGACCAAACAUGGUACAUGGAGCCCUCAUGACCUAUUCUACAUACUGGCUCUGUUUGGAGGGGGAUGGACACUGGACGAUGGGACUUGCAUAUGGGAGUUGGAGCUCACCCGCACCCACUGAACCCAGCUGACAUUGGAUAUAGGCUACACUUGGAACACAGGCAAACAAUGUCUUUCUCAAAUGACCCGGGCAUCGCCGGGUCUCCAAGCUAGUAUGGGAAUAAAAUUAAGACUAAAUAGAAGAGUUGAGAGUGUUUGGCUUUGAGAAAAAGCAUAGAUAGGAUAAGCAUGGGACCAGUUUUAUAGAAUAGAGAUAACCAAUGGGAUGCAGAUGUAUAGCAAUGACAGGAAAGGAAUGAUAAGCUUUUGUAACACCAGGGCUUCAUGGGGGUUCUGAUGGAAAAUACACACAAAAUGUGUACAGUGGGAUAACUUGCUUUCAAAAACACAUAUUGGGGAGAACUGUAUAUCCAAGUGUGUUUAUUACAGUACGUGAAAAAAGCCAUUUAUGAGAGUGCCUAUGAAUUUUCAAGUAGAUUUUUUAUUUUUAUUUUAAAAACCAAA